Molecule: ribosomal RNA, 663 nt
Filed under: uncultured cyanobacterium
Lineage: Bacteria; Bacillati; Cyanobacteriota
Description: bacterial SSU rRNA
Rfam family: Bacterial small subunit ribosomal RNA
Source: RNAcentral
CGGACGGGUGAGUAACGCGUGAGAAUCUGGCUUCAGGUCUGGGACAACCACUGGAAACGGUGGCUAAUACCGGAUGUGCCGAGAGGUGAAAGGUUAACUGCCUGAAGAUGAGCUCGCGUCUGAUUAGCUAGUUGGAAGUGUAAUGGACUCCCAAGGCGACGAUCAGUAGCUGGUCUGAGAGGACGAUCAGCCACACUGGGACUGAGACACGGCCCAGACUCCUACGGGAGGCAGCAGUGGGGAAUUUUCCGCAAUGGGCGAAAGCCUGACGGAGCAAUACCGCGUGAGGGAGGAAGGCUCUUGGGUCGUAAACCUCUUUUCUCAGGGAAGAACACAAUGACGGUACCUGAGGAAUAAGCAUCGGCUAACUCCGUGCCAGCAGCCGCGGUAAUACGGAGGAUGCAAGCGUUAUCCGGAAUGAUUGGGCGUAAAGCGUCCGCAGGUGGCAAUGUAAGUCUGCUGUUAAAGAGUCUAGCUCAACUAGAUAAGAGCAGUGGAAACUACAUAGCUAGAGUACGUUCGGGGCAGAGGGAAUUCCUGGUGUAGCGGUGAAAUGCGUAGAGAUCAGGAAGAACACCAGUGGCGAAGGCGCUCUGCUAGGCCGUAACUGACACUGAGGGACGAAAGCUAGGGGAGCGAAUGGGAUUAGAUACCCCAGUAGUC